RNAcentral lists this ribosomal RNA (492 nucleotides) under uncultured bacterium. RNAcentral's name for it is "partial 16S ribosomal RNA". It matches the Rfam family "Bacterial small subunit ribosomal RNA", at positions 29 to 507 of the family's 1533-position model. The record is from RNAcentral.
AGUGAACGCUGGCGGUAGGCCUAACACAUGCAAGUCGAACGGCAGCACAGUAAGAGCUUGCUCUUACGGGUGGCGAGUGGCGGACGGGCGAGGAAUACAUCGGAAUCUACUUUUUCGUGGGGGAUAACGUAGGGAAACUUACGCUAAUACCGCAUACGACCUACGGGUGAAAGCAGGGGAUCUUCGGACCUUGCGCGAUUGUAUGAGCCGAUGUCGGAUUAGCUAGUUGGCGGGGUAAAGGCCCACCAAGGCGACGAUCCGUAGCUGGUCUGAGAGGAUGAUCAGCCACACUGGAACUGAGACACGGUCCAGACUCCUACGGGAGGCAGCAGUGGGGAAUAUUGGACAAUGGGCGCAAGCCUGAUCCAGCCAUACCGCGUGGGUGAAGAAGGCCUUCGGGUUGUAAAGCCCUUUUGUUGGGAAAGAAAAGCAGCAGGUUAAUACCCCGCUGUUCUGACGGUACCCAAAGAAUAAGCACCGGCUAACUUCGUG